AGCAGCCGCGGUAAUUCCAGCUCCAAUAGCGUAUAUUAAAGUUGUUGCAGUUAAAAAGCUCGUAGUUGAAUUUCGGGGUCAGUAGGUCGGUCGUGCCACUGGUAUGAACUGGUUUUACUGAUUCCUCCCUCUUGAAGAACUGUAAUGCCAUUAAUUUGGUGUUGCAGGGAAUCAGGACUGUUACUUUGAAAAAAUUAGAGUGUUUAAAGCAGGCUUUAGCUUGAAUACAUUAGCAUGGAAUAAUGAAAUAGGACGUUUGAUCCUAUUUUGUUGGUUUCUAGGAUUGACGUAAUGAUUAAUAGGGAUAGUUGGGGGCAUUAGUAUUCAAUUGUCAGAGGUGAAAUUCUUGGAUUUAUUGAAGACUAACUACUGCGAAAGCAUUUGCCAAGGAUGUUUUCAUUAAUCAAGAACGAAAGUUAGGGGAUCGAAGACGAUCAGAUACCGUCGUAGUCUUAACCAUAAACUAUGCCGACUAGGGAUCGGAUGAUGUUAAUUUAAUGACUCA
This 505-nucleotide ribosomal RNA is filed under the name uncultured Glomus. RNAcentral describes it as "SSU rRNA". It matches the Rfam family "Eukaryotic small subunit ribosomal RNA", at positions 569 to 1078 of the family's 1831-position model. The record is from RNAcentral. Lineage: Eukaryota; Fungi; Glomeromycota; Glomeromycetes; Glomerales; Glomeraceae.